This 926-nucleotide long non-coding RNA is filed under the name Marmota monax (woodchuck). The record is from RNAcentral. Lineage: Eukaryota; Metazoa; Chordata; Mammalia; Rodentia; Sciuridae.
UGUUUUAGACAGGAUCUCACUCAAUUGCUGGGGCUGUUCUCAAACUUGCGAUGCCUCCGCCUCCUGAGUUGCUGGGAUCACCAGCACGCACCACCACGUCUGGCUACAGUAACGCUUAUUUUUAAAAAAAUAUUGUGCUGCUCCUACAGAUGAAAAUCCAGCAUGGACUUUGUGGGGCCGUUAGAAAUCAAGAGUUCUGCAAACUUCUUCUGAACACUCUCUCCAAUGAAGGUCUGAAUCCUGACGAGCUCUUGCUUGAUUAGAACAGGAGAGAUCCAUUCCCCAAAAAUGUAAGCAUAGGAUCACCAUAUGACCCAGAAAUUCCACUUCUAAGUAUGUAGCCCAUAGAAUUGAAAUAGACGUUCAGACACAUUCUUGCACACUGACAUUCAUGGGGGCACAAUCCUUAAUUGCCAAAAGAUAGUAACAACCCAAAUGUCCAUCAGGGGAUAGACAGAUGAACAGAACGUGGUUUCCAUGGAAUAUAAUUCAGCCAUGAAAAGGUGAGAGGCACGACUCAUGCUGUGGCAUGGAUGAACCCAAGGCAUGUGGUGACAGAGACCUGGCACCCAGGUCACACAUACAAUUCCUGUGACAUGUACUCUAUGAAACGUCCAGAGUAGGAAAAUCCAGAGACGAAGGUGAGCUUGGACCACCAGGCCCUGGAGGAUGGGGUGUCUCAGCCCCAGUGAGCGGUGACAGCCGCACAGUGCUGUGGUUACACCUGCAGGAGAGUACACCCGAAAACGAUUCGUGGAGGAUUUUAUGUUGAGAGAAUUUUAUCUCAAUUUCUUUUUAGAAGGGAGAUUUCCAAUAUCAGAAAGAUAUUGAAGACAUACCUUGGCCAAACGAGAUCUUCUCCUUAAUGGAAUAAAAAGGAAUGGAGAAAACUGCGUUUUUCCUUCUGAUUCCCAGACCCUUUUGCC